AGAGGGAUGGAGAGCCUUCCUAGCAUAUACUUCAGAGGGAAAUGGAAAGUUUCAGGAUUGGGAUACGGCCAUGAAGUAUCAACGGAAGAAUGGAUCCUUGUUUAAUUCACCAUCAACCACAGCUGCUGCUUUUACUCACCUUAAGAAUCCCAGUUGUCUUACGUAUUUACGCACACUCUUAGAAAAGUUUGGGAAUGCAGUCCCAACAAUUUAUCCUCUAGAUAACUAUGCUCGCCUUACUAUGGUUUCCAGUCUAGAAAGUUUGGGUAUUGAUCGACAUUUCAGGGAGGAAAUUACAGGUGUACUGGAUGGAACAUACAGAUUCUGGCUGCAGGGAGAUGAAGAUAUAUUUUCAAAUGCUGCCACUUGUGCAAUGGCAUUUUGACUCUUACGUGUUAAUGGAUAUGAUGUUUCUGCAGAUCCAUUAACUCAAUUUUCAGAAGAUUGCUUCUUCAAUUCCCUUGGAGAAUACUUGAGGGAUGUUGGCGCUGCGUUUGAAUUGUUUAGAGCUUCAGAAAUCACCCUACAUCCUGAUGAAUCAGUUCUGAAGAAACUAAAUUAUUGGACACGUUGCUGUUUGCGAGUCCUUACUUAGUUAGGAUUUUGGUUAUUUACCCAUUUAUCUAGUCCUAU
Prunus persica (peach) is the source of this 633-nucleotide long non-coding RNA. RefSeq lists it as uncharacterized. Lineage: Eukaryota; Viridiplantae; Streptophyta; Magnoliopsida; Rosales; Rosaceae. The record is from RefSeq and is a predicted model, not a curated record. The transcript has 4 exons.